This 280-nucleotide long non-coding RNA is filed under the name Chelydra serpentina (North American snapping turtle). Its description in RNAcentral is "lncRNA (ENSCSRG00000018888.1)". The record is from RNAcentral. Lineage: Eukaryota; Metazoa; Chordata; Testudines; Chelydridae.
GUCCCGUUCUCGCGCGGUGCGUGAGCUCCCGCGUGUUCUCGCGAGAUGUCUGGCUCCUACCUUUCCCGUGAUCCCUUGCGGGGCCGCGCUCAGCUGCGGCGUCUCCACGGAGCUGGCUGAAGGGAUCCGCAGCUGCCACCCGAAGAAGCUGGAGAAGGGACGAUUCGAGUUGCCAAUCCUAGGCAAAGGUGAAGGGACAGGAUCUCGUCCUCACAUCCUCCACCCAGGAUCCACGUCCGAUGGGGAAGUGCCUGCGGGGGUGCUGGCCAGGUGCCGGUGA